RNAcentral lists this ribosomal RNA (469 nucleotides) under uncultured Pelotomaculum sp. RNAcentral describes it as "bacterial SSU rRNA". It matches the Rfam family "Bacterial small subunit ribosomal RNA", at positions 917 to 1381 of the family's 1533-position model. The record is from RNAcentral. Lineage: Bacteria; Bacillati; Bacillota; Clostridia; Eubacteriales; Desulfotomaculaceae.
GACGGGGCCGCACAAGCGGUGGAGCAUGUGGUUAAUUCGACGCAACGCGAAGAACCUUACCAGGGCUUGACAUCCCCUGACCGCGUAUGAAAGUACGUUUUCACCCUCGGGUGACAGGGAGACAGGUGGUGCAUGGUUGUCGUCAGCUCGUGUCGUGAGAUGUUGGGUUAAGUCCCGCAACGAGCGCAACCCCUACGUUAGUUGCUAACAGGUGAAGGCGAGCACUCUAGACGAACUGCCGUUGACAAAACGGAGGAAGGUGGGGAUGACGUCAAAUCAUCAUGCCCCUUAUGUUCUGGGCUACACACGUGCUACAAUGGCCGGUACAGACGGACGCAAAGCCGCGAGGCGGAGCAAAUCCGAAAAAGCCGGUCUCAGUUCGGAUUGCAGGCUGCAAUUCGCCUGCAUGAAGUCGGAAUCGCUAGUAAUCGCAGGUCAGCAUACUGCGGUGAAUACGUUCCCGGGCCUU